UGCGGUGGGUACGGGCAGACUAGAGUGCAGUAGGGGAGACUGGAAUUCCUGGUGUAGCGGUGGAAUGCGCAGAUAUCAGGAGGAACACCGAUGGCGAAGGCAGGUCUCUGGGCUGUAACUGACGCUGAGGAGCGAAAGCAUGGGGAGCGAACAGGAUUAGAUACCCUGGUAGUCCAUGCCGUAAACGUUGGGCACUAGGUGUGGGGACCAUUCCACGGUUUCCGCGCCGCAGCUAACGCAUUAAGUGCCCCGCCUGGGGAGUACGGCCGCAAGGCUAAAACUCAAAGGAAUUGACGGGGGCCCGCACNAGCGGCGGAGCAUGCGGAUUAAUUCGAUGCAACGCGAAGAACCUUACCAAGGCUUGACAUGUUCUCGAUCGCCGUAGAGAUACGGUUUCCCCUUUGGGGCGGGUUCACAGGUGGUGCAUGGUUGUCGUCAGCUCGUGUCGUGAGAUGUUGGGUUAAGUCCCGCAACGAGCGCAACCCUCGUUCCAUGUUGCCAGCACGUAAUGGUGGGGACUCAUGGGAGACUGCCGGGGUCAACUCGGAGGAAGGUGAGGACGACGUCAAAUCAUCAUGCCCCUUAUGUCUUGGGCUUCACGCAUGCUACAAUGGCCGGUACAAUGGGUUGCGAUACUGUGAGGUGGAGCUAAUCCCAAAAAGCCGGUCUCAGUUCGGAUUGGGGUCUGCAACUCGACCCCAUGAAGUCGGAGUCGCUAGUAAUCGCAGAUCAGCAACGCUGCGGUGAAUACGUUCCCGGGCCUUGUACACACCGCCCGUCAAGUCACGAAAGUCGGUAACACCCGAAGCCGGUGGCCUAACCCUUGU
This 827-nucleotide ribosomal RNA is filed under the name bacterium. RNAcentral's name for it is "bacterial SSU rRNA". It matches the Rfam family "Bacterial small subunit ribosomal RNA", at positions 622 to 1444 of the family's 1533-position model. The record is from RNAcentral.